RNAcentral lists this long non-coding RNA (2127 nucleotides) under Anthonomus grandis grandis. RNAcentral's name for it is "uncharacterized LOC126735282". The record is from RNAcentral. Lineage: Eukaryota; Metazoa; Arthropoda; Insecta; Coleoptera; Curculionidae.
UUUACUUUUACAUCUUUAGUAAUAGUUAAUAAUAAUAAUAGUUAAACUUUAGUAAUAGUAACUAAUAAUAACACAGUUCUUUGGUGUUUCUAUUGUCUAGCCCCCUAGUCUUUUUUCCCUGCCAAUAAUGGAAACUAAAUUUGUUCCUGACUUAUACCCUUCUAUUUUAAAAGUAAACUCGUGAGUUUCCUAGAUUGCCUCUGAGAAUCUUGUCCCUGUCAACGAAUAUGAGUUUCGGUUAGAAUUUCCUUUAAGAAAUUUGUAUAUUCUUUAAAGGAAUUCUUCAUUUCAUCAAAAGAAGCAUGAUAACCUUUACACCUAUUUUACAAUUGCGGAACCAAGGUGAUUCAUUGACAUUUCUAAGUUCUUUGGCUUCUGAUAACUCUUGGUGAGGCUCCAGAAAUCCAUCAAGAUUCUUAAAUGAACUUAAGUCCUUGUAAGUAGAUCCAAUUGAUGUAAUCCAUUUAUUAAUCAGUCAUUUUUUGAAUGCGAAUACUAAGGUUCCUAGAUUGCCAUUCAGGAAUUCAGCCAUGCCCAUGAAUAUCAGCUCUAGUUAGACUUUCCUUUGAAAAUUCUAUAAGGAAAUUCUUCAUUUAAUUCCAAAUAGGAUCAAACAAGCUCAAGCCAUUAUAGACUUAGUCCAACACAUAAAACCACUUUUAAAUUCUUUGGCCUCAUAACUAUAGUAAAAUUCAAGUGUUCCAUGAGUCUUAUAUCCUCCUGGGACCUAGCGUCCAUUUAAAUGGACAUGCCAGUUUUAUGUUUCCAGUUUCGUUUUCAUGUUUUCUGUUGUGAUGGCGGCUGCACAUAGUUCUCGUUAUGAUGGAAUUUUUGGCAAUCAAAGAGUGCUUCUGCCAGGGGAAGAUGACGAAAAAUUGGAGCAAAUACUAAAAAUCAUUGGAAAUGAUGAAAUGUCUGAUGAUGAAGAAGAAAUUCAAACUAUGGAUAAUUUAAUGGGGAGAGAAGAAGAAAUAAUUAAUGAAGAACUAGUAAGCAGCAGUAAGGAGGAAGAAGAAGAAGAUAGAAUUCCUCUUAGUGUCCUGAGAGAAAACUUAAAAAUGGCCAAGCAAUCUGUGGAUUCUUUAAACCUAGCAAUGAGUGUAAAAGGUAGUCUAAGAAAGGCUCUAAAUACAUUCAGGUUAAAAGACCUUACGUUGUUGCUAAAUACAACGAUUGUAUGGGAGGAAUAGACUUGAUAGACCGAAUGAUUAGCUAUUAUAGAAUUCGAGCCAGGUCAAAAAAAUGGACUGUAAGGGUCAUUUUCCAUUUCUUUGAUCUAGCAAUGGCUAACUCAUGGAUUUUUUAUCGAAGAGAUAAAAAAAUAUUUAAAAUCCCUCCACGCAAAAUACAACAAUAUUUUAAAAUCGAAAUUGCUACUCAAUUUUUGACAAAUAUACCCAACCCACAAAGUGAAUCCCAAGAAAACAUCAUCGUCAUUAGGCACCAAAACAAAACAGAAACAACACUUUCCAGAAAUUGCUUCAGACUUAAAAAAUUCGGUUAGAUGUAAAAAUGACUCUUGUGCCAAGAAAACCAAGUUUUUUUGUAAUACAUGCAACACAUUUUUGCUUAUUACUGGCAACAGAAACUGUUUCAUGAAGUUCCAUAACAAAUAAGUUUAAGUUUACAUUUAUUUUCUGCGUUCUCAUAGGUUUACUGAAAUGUUAUUGAAAAAAAAAAUUAUAUAUUAGGAAUUUUUGUUUAGGUUAAGACCAAUGUCCAUUUUAAUGGACGUCAUGUAUCGGUCAAAGUAAGAAAAAAAAUAAAAAAAAUUAUUAGUAAACAAUGUUUAUUUAUGUAUUUUUUAUUAUAUUUAAAAGCCUCAUAACCUUAACUUAAUAAAAACAUGUCCGGGUCCCAGGAGGAUAUAAGAUGUUUCACAUUUCGGUCUUAAGGGUACUUAACCUUUUUUGUUUUUCUUGCAAAUGAUUUACCUGAAGAUUCCAACAUAUCCAAAUUAUCGAGGAAUUCUUCACCAUUCAGCCUGGAUUCAGUAAAAUUAUACUAAUAAUCAUUCAGAUAUUCAAACGUUUUUACUUUGGUCCUCUUCCAAUGGAUUGAAAUCAUUGAUUAAUCAAUUGUUUUUUAAAAUGAAUUAUGAGCUUCUGUCUCAAGAUCAUAAAUAUG